RNAcentral lists this ribosomal RNA (253 nucleotides) under uncultured bacterium. RNAcentral's name for it is "partial 16S ribosomal RNA". It matches the Rfam family "Bacterial small subunit ribosomal RNA", at positions 524 to 776 of the family's 1533-position model. The record is from RNAcentral.
GACGGAGGAUGCAAGUGUUAUCCGGAAUUACUGGGCGUAAAGGGCGCGUAGGCGGUUCGUCAAGUCCUGUGUGAAAUCCCCCGGCUCAACUGGGGAACUGCACAGGAAACUAGCGGGCUUGAGUUCGGGAGAGGGAAGCGGAAUUCCGGGUGUAGCGGUGAAAUGCGUAGAUAUCCGGAGGAACACCGGUGGCGAAGGCGGCUUCCUGGACCGACACUGACGCUGAGGCGCGAAAGCUAGGGGAGCAAACGGG